UCAUCCCUAGAGCCUCGAGCUCUCUAAAGGGUUGUUCUAGACUAGAACGUUGAUAGGCAGGGUGUGUAAGCGCUGUGAGGCGUUGAGCUAACCUGUACUAAUGGCCCGUGAGGCUUAACCAUACAACACCCAAGGGGUUU
Molecule: ribosomal RNA, 140 nt
Filed under: Salinivibrio kushneri
Lineage: Bacteria; Pseudomonadati; Pseudomonadota; Gammaproteobacteria; Vibrionales; Vibrionaceae
Description: partial 23S ribosomal RNA
Rfam family: Bacterial large subunit ribosomal RNA (bases 1-122)
Source: RNAcentral